This is a long non-coding RNA of Acipenser ruthenus (sterlet), 1587 nucleotides long. RefSeq lists it as uncharacterized. The record is from RefSeq and is a predicted model, not a curated record. The transcript is spliced from 4 exons. NCBI's taxonomy places the organism in Eukaryota, Metazoa, Chordata, Actinopteri, Acipenseriformes, Acipenseridae.
AGUAUUUGAAAUACGUCAACGCGCUCCAGAUUCGAACCGUCUUUAUAACAGCUGACUUUUUAAAAAACAAACCAGAAGCAACGAUUUAUAAGACUUGUAACAGUCGGUACUGAACAUGAGCUCAGAGAAAUGUUUGCAGAAGAAUGCCAAUCCAACCCAACAGCCUCCCACACCAAGUCUAACGAAACGGAAGAAAAUCCAAGAGAUCAAAGUCUUCAGAAGUCCAACAGACAAUAUGGUGUCUCCCUGUACACGCAGACUCCUGAAGAAAACUGAUAAAGUUGUGAAUCCCAGCAAGACAUUACCAGACGUGCCUAAGUUUACUGUUGAGGAUAAAGAAAAUGCUUCCAUCAUGUAAAAUGGAGAAAAAGCCUUCAUCAACAGCCAAGCAUUAGCUGGGCAGGUUUCCUGGGUUCAGGGUGUUCUGCUUGUUUCAAGAGUUAUGCUGGGUCACUAGCGCUUAUGAUUAACUUUAUUAUAAUGCACUAAACUGAUUGCUGGUAAGAAGGCAUUUGAUCUGAAAAUUAACAGAGGUGAAUCUGAGGUACAUUUUUCUACCCUUGAUCUCAGCUUGAUACAUACUCAUAUGCUAUGCCAUUGUUCAUAAGGCAAGCUAUAAAUAUGGCGUGCAAAUAAAUUGUAGUAUAAAGUUAAAGGGGGUUUUCGCUUUUGUUUUAUGAGAGAUUUGUUCAAACAAAUUGUUAAAAAGAGUAUGCGUUGUACAAGUUGCAAGAACUGUUGAGUUGUAAAGGCUGCUACACCAGACACGAUGUGACAAGCGAAACUGCAGCGAGAAAACAAACGGAACUUGCACUUUUGAUAAGUACCGUAUUACUUCAAUUUGGCGCCGCGGCGUUUAUUUUAAAUUGAUCAAAAUGACUGCAGCCCUUAAACGAGGGCGGCCUUUAUUAAUAAUACUAUGCUUUACAAACGCUGCAAUAUUUUAUUAAUUGAUUUAAGGCAUUUUAGAAACGGCGCCAUGAGAGGCUCCGAUCUGCAGCAAUAUACUCUUGUGUGAUUUUGGGGCUUGAAUACAGUACAUUUACUGACAGUUAACGAGAGCCUAUUAGGUGGGAGUUGGGAGGUCAGGGGAGUACUGUACCAGCGAAUGAGGAGUGUGUAUUGGUUGCUAUGGGGCGGGACAAGAAGAGGAAAGAUAACGGUAGUUGAGUUAUUUUUCAAGACGAAAAAUUGAUUUCUGUUAAAACUAAAAUACAUAUUUUUUUCCUGCUUGUUUCAAAUUUCUCUGUAAGAGAAACCGAAACUAAAUCUUCUCAUACAUAGUAAGCACGUUUUUUUUUUUGUUUUUUUUUUAUAUAAUUGUACAGGACUGAGUAAAAUUCCAAUUGAAUAAAAACCAGUCACCCAAAUAAAAAUCUCAUUGCGUCUGGUGUGUGGCGGCCUUUAGAGUUGUACAUUUUAUACAUGUUUUUUUAUAAUGUAAGAUGUUCUUUUAUGUAUUAUAAAUAAGUCACAUUGUAUGAUGAUUUUAUAAACAUGUAUAUGGAAAGUUUACUGUAUUAUUUCUGUUGCUAACGGUUAUAUGAACUGUUUUAAUACAUUAAAAAAAAAAAAAAAAAAAAAAAA